ACUGGUUACUGCACCCCUUAUGUGCGAAGGAGAUACCAUUUGGUCCAAAGUUCAUCAACUAAAACAAUCUCCUUCAUGUUCACUUUAAUUAUAUACUUAACUAUACAAAUGGCAAAACAUGACAACAGAGUAAUAAGACAUGUUGUAAUUUACAUGUGUACCAACCCAAUGAAUUUGUCCACACAGCUACAGCUAUCAGUGAAUAGAUCACAUUCAUACAAGUAUUAAUUGGGUGACCUACUCCAGUUUUUUAAUCAAUU
Juglans microcarpa x Juglans regia is the source of this 260-nucleotide long non-coding RNA. RefSeq lists it as uncharacterized. Lineage: Eukaryota; Viridiplantae; Streptophyta; Magnoliopsida; Fagales; Juglandaceae. The record is from RefSeq and is a predicted model, not a curated record. The transcript is spliced from 2 exons.